CUAUAAUCUUAAUCGUGUGGUGCAUUAUGCUAGUCAUUACACUAUUUGAAGGUAGGGCUAAAAAUCUACCAAUUGUACAAAUGAGACUUCGUGUAUUUGCUUCUUCUGCCCAAGUUGGGGUGAGUAUAUGAUUUAAAAUCUAAGGAAACUUCAUAAUGGCAUAUGAAAACAUUCCUUUUAUUGCCUCACUUAUACAAAUAAUGAUUAACGUACAUGAUGUGAGUGAUUACUAGGGAUAUUAUUUGAAAUAGUAAUUGCAAAAGCAUAUAAGGAUAGUCACUUAUGUUAGGGAAAACCUCUAGCGUGUAUAUAUCGUAGGUAUUAAAGUGCGGACUAAGUGGUAAUCGAGUAGUUAGACCGGCAACGCCUAGCUGCUUCAUUUAAAACGAAAGUGCUUUAGGGUAACCGAAAGUAUGAAAGUAGAGAAAUUCAACUCGACCAAAGCCGUAAAAUUGAUCUAUGAUAUACCAUACAACUAUACUUUAAU
This 487-nucleotide small RNA is filed under the name Firmicutes bacterium CAG:582. Lineage: Bacteria; Bacillati; Bacillota. The record is from RNAcentral.